Molecule: RNA transcript, 4858 nt
Organism: Pseudopipra pipra
Lineage: Eukaryota; Metazoa; Chordata; Aves; Passeriformes; Pipridae
Gene: MASP2
Gene name: MBL associated serine protease 2
Exons: 14
Source: RefSeq, a predicted model, not a curated record
UCCAUUCCACAGAAGAUUUUUUUUUUCCAAGGGAAGUCCUUUCUCUGAACCUUGGCCUGGCGUUUCUGUUGAGAAUGCAGCUCACCUUUGUGCUCCCUCAGUCAGCCCUCAGCGUGGAAGGAGACAGGGGCACAAGAAGACAGCUGGUCAGACUUCUCAGGAGGCAUCAUUCCAGGCUGUUUGUCUUGCUGGCUGUGCUCUACAGUGGAGCAAAGAGCAGUGUUGUGCCACAGAAAAUGUAUGGGAGGAUCACGUCCCCAAACUUUCCCAAUGUCUACCCAAACCACAAGGAGAGAAUCUGGAAUAUUACUGUCCCCAAGGGAUAUUCUGUCCGUAUCUACUUCACCCAUUUCAACCUGGAGCUGUCCUACCUGUGUGAAUAUGAUUAUGUGAAGCUGAGCUCUGGUGGGAAGACCUUGGCUACACUGUGUGGAAAGGACAGCACAGACACUGAGGAGGCUCCGGGCAACAAGACAUACAUCUCCCUGGACAACCACCUCGUGGUGCUGUUCCGGUCCGACUACUCCAACGAGAAACCAUUCACGGGCUUUGAGGCCUUCUAUGCUGCUGAAGAUAUUGAUGAGUGCAAACAGCUGUUGGAUGGUGAACCCCUCUGCAAUCAUCACUGUCACAACUACGUGGGGGGCUACUAUUGCAGCUGCAGGGUUGGCUACACACUGCAUGAAAACAAGAGGACAUGCACAGCCCACUGUCAAAGUCUCCUUUUUACUGAGAGAAUUGGAGAAAUCCCUGGCCCUGACUGUCCAACACCUGAUCUCAGCUCCUGCAGCUACAGGAUCCAGAUAGAAGAGGCUUCCUGAUCGUGCUGCAAUUCGUGGAGACCUUUAAUGUGGAGACAGACCCAGGACUGCUGUGCCCCUGUGAUGUCCUUAAGGGAAGUUAAAACAGGAAUACAUGGUCAUUCCUGCUGAAAGCUGCAUUUCACACAUACUCCUUAGUAACUGAACCGAGCUUCCCAGCAGGCAGUUUUGGAAGGUGUAUGCUUAUGGAACUUUAAAAUCACGGGUAGGUGAUGGUGGUUUGGGGAGGCAGAGUCUUAACUCAGCAGUUAUUUUCUAGGCUAAUUUGACAGCUGCACUGUUUAUGUAGAAACCCAGAAUAACUGAUGUGAGAGUUAUGGAUUCCACACAUACAGUGGGAGAGCUGGGGGUGUGUGAAAAUGCAGUGACAAAAUUCAGGGCCAGUGUGAAGCCCUGUUCUGCCCUGGAAAGGUCAACAGUAAUGGUAGGGCCUAAACAUGGAAUUAAACGUGGUCCUUGGCUCUGGGGUGUGCAAAGGGAAUGUCCCUGCCUUACCUGGACACACCUGGAACUUUGCCUGUGGGAAGAAUUUGCAUUUUUAAGGCUGUGUAAGCAAUGCUGAAAGGUACCCAGGUAGGCUUCAUUCAGUCACAGCUGGGAGCUUUCUUACCAUUCCCAAUCCAUCAGUGGAUUUAAUAGAUUAAAUCCUGGGAAUAGCCCCAGGGGGGGAAGUGACACAGUCACCUUCUCAGGAGCCCACAGGGACUCAAAAGCCACCUAAAAUAUGUUGUCUGAGGAUGCCUGUAGAGUGUCACUGCUGCUGUUAACCAGUGCCCAGCUGUUCCAGUCCCUGGUUAUUUGUGCUGUCUCUGGGAUGCAGGUCAAGAUCCACGUGGGGAUGGACACUGGAGACACUGCAGCUCGUGCCUCAGCUCCAGCCUGCAGUGACCUGCCUGGGCUGGGCACAGUCACCCACUCAGCUAUUCCACCUGCACAGGAGCAGGAGCCUGACUUCUACCCAAUGUCCCUCUUUGCUUGAGCUGCAAAAGGAUUUUACCUGCACCAUCAGAACUUCUCCAAAGGUACUGAAAUAUUCCUUUAAGUCUUGUUCAGUGGUUUUCCAGGGAAGACCCAAGACUAUUAAAUCUGAAGUCUUCUGUACUGCUCGUUUCACUUUCACAGCUGAUGAUGCAUCAGUUUCAUCCAUUUUUCUCUUAUUAUCUGAAUAUAAAAAAGUACAUUAGACAUUAUCCUCAAAUCUGGAAACCAAUCCAUUGAUUACGAACUGCACGGUAUAAAAUCAUGAACUCUGAUGAGAAAGAGUACAGACUACAAGAGACACAUGCCAGCUGUUAGGAGCCUAUUGUAAAAUAUCUGAAUGCCCUGGACCAAAGCCAGUCCACACUGAAGUCCCCCUCCAAAAUGCAAUUUGACCCAGUUAGCUCUGCAUUAGUUUACUUAAAUAUCAUCCGGCAACGUUCACAGGCCUAUAACAAGGUAGAGAAGACAGGAAGUUUUAACAAGAAUAUUGCAUUAGUGAUUUAUUUGCUUCCCCUUUUUUCCAAGGGGGUGGGGCAGGGUGGUCUGACUUCUCUUUUCCUGAUAACUUUUAAAUGGUACUUCUGACCAAACCAGGCUUGAGAAGUGCCUGUGAGUACAGAGGUCCCAUUAGGCCACGGCCUCUGAAGGUCUAGAUGAGGUUGUGGACCCUUCAAAGAUAACACAAGACUUUGUCAUUAAAGUGUUCGUUUGGGUAAAGUUUUAAAAACUUACUGGGGUCAAAUCUACUCGGCAGGACAGACAUGUACAUAAAUCGCUGAUCCCUGUGAAUCAGAGGGUUCAACAGGAACAGUGCUGCCACGUUAGCUCAGCAGUGACUCACGCAGAAAACUGCAACCUCGUACAAAGAACCGACGGAACGAGCACAGACCUUUGGGAUAGUUGACGACGUAGACGAGGUUCCCCCAGCCGGCCUCGGGGGCGUGCAGGAUGCCCUCGACCAGCCGGACCCCCCGCAUGCACUGCGACACCGGGUUCCUGUAGCGGAGCCCGCACGCCCCGGGGAACUGCGCCGUCACCGUGGACAGCAGCACCGUGCCGUCGUCCUCCGACGGGAUCUCGAUGGGCUCAUCGUUCUCGUCCUCCGUCACCCGGAUAUACUCCGACAUCCUCGCUGGACGCUAUUGAACUGCACAGGGGGAAAGCAGCGUGAGCGACCACCCUCUGCCCCCCGGCUCGGCUUUCAUCUCCCUCGCCCCGAGGCACCGCUGGGUUUAUUGCACAGCGGGGGACACCGAAACGCGCCGUUCACUGUCACACUGACACCGAAGCCUCCGGCCCUGCCGUACCGACACACGGACCGACACCUCGGGCCGUCCCGGAGCUACGGAGGGACCGAAGCGACGAGUCCCCGAGCACGGCGGGAGGGUGCCACCGGCUCCCGCCGCGGGGCCUGCUCAGCACAGCCCCUCUGGGCCCCGCCGCCUGCCAGGCCCGCCCAAGCCUGCCCCCUCCGUGCGCGGCUCCGCCCGCCCCAGCCCCGCGGGCAGCCCGGUCUCGCCGGCCCCGCGCUCCGCUCACCGGCCAGGGAAGGGAACGGCGUCCCCGGAGCCGCUCGGUGCCCCUCAGUGCCCGCUCAAUGCCCGCUCCGCCCGCCGCGCUCCGCCGGCGCCGCACAAAAUGGCGGCCGCGGCCCCUCAGCGGCCGGGCCGGGCCCGGGCCGAACCAUUCCCGGCGGCCGGAGGGGGAGGUUGCGGCGGGGCGCUGCGGCCGCGGGGCCACACGGAGCUCCGACUGUGCCCCAGCGCGUCCCGCUCGCUUCCAGUCGGAGCUCGGCCGGUGCCUCCCGGCACCAGAGGCGAUGGGCGAGGAAGCUGCCCGAGCCCCGCUCCCCCCGGCGCGGGGCCGGUGGUGCGGCCCUGCCCGCGUCUGCGCGAGCGCGGGAGCUGCCGGGAGCCGGCGGCGCGCGGGCCGUGAGGGAGGGACGGGACGGGAGCGGGACCGGCGGGGAGACCCUCGGCACGGAGCGGCUGUGCCUCGCUCCCACCGCGCUGCCAGAGCUCCUGACUGAAAAAAAACCAACCCCAACUCGGUCACUUGGUCUGUUCAACGUGGAGGAGACUGAGGGGAGACCUCAUUGGGGUCUUCAGCAUCCUCGUGCGGUGCCGCACCAUCUCUGCUCUAUGUGAGCAGUGACAGGACCCAGGGAACGGCUGGAGCUGUGUCACGGCAGGGUCAGAACAGGACAGGAGUGUUGGAGAUGCUGAGCACAGCAAUCGUUUGGAAUCAGCCUCGCCCUGGUGGUGCCUGUGUUUAAACCCGAAAAUUGGAGCAGGACUCAGACCCUCCCACUGGCAGACACGGUCAGAUCAACCCAUCUGCAAGUCGGCUCCCUUGCCUUUCUGGAGCAUCCAGCAGCAGAGCCUGGGAAGGAUUUCUGCCCGUGAUUCUCAGAGCUGGUGUAGUAACUCCCAGUGUGGAAGAGCCUGAGCUUCCAUCAGCACAGACUGGCAUAAGCCAAAGGAGUCUCCAGUGAACCCAGCACUUCAUUCCAGAUGUGGCUGAGGGAAGAAAACGUCAUGCAAAGUGCAAGGCUGACACCUGGAGGGACUGUGAGAGGCAGCCGGGGAGCCUGGAGCAGCCAGACAUCCUGCAGCACACAUGGCUGGAUCUUCCAUGUCUAUUUUUAGGAGAAGAAACAUAGAAGCUCUGACUGUGUCACCUAAUUAUUCACUUCCAUGCUCAGGAAUGUCUGGAUCAAAACUUACCUUGCUCAAUUUUGUCUGGACUCUCCUUCCUGCAAAGCAGCCUGGCAUCAGCAUGGUGAAGUGCCCAAGUCCAUACCUUCAGGGCUGUGUGUGUGUUCCCAAAGAGAUCAGCAAAGCAUUCAAGUCAAGAAUUAGCUUGCUGCCUUCCAGAGAAUUCAUCAUUUCCAGUUUGCAAGCUUGAAGAGUGAAAUCCAGGAAGCAUCAAUAAAUCUACUUUGACAGUGGAGUAAAGAGCUGCAAAAGGAGUAACCUGUCAAGGUAAUGUGACUUAAUUUCUCAGAGAAAGAUCCAUUUUUAUAAAUGAAAUAAAAAUGCCAGCAAAGUCAAAUA